UACGUAUGGAGCAAGCGUUAUCCGGAUUUAUUGGGCGUAAAGGGAACGCAGGCGGUCUUUUAAGUCUGAUGUGAAAGCCUUCGGCUUAACCGGAGUAGUGCAUUGGAAACUGGGAGACUUGAGUGCAGAAGAGGAGAGUGGAACUCCAUGUGUAGCGGUGAAAUGCGUAGAUAUAUGGAAGAACACCAGUGGCGAAAGCGGCUCUCUGGUCUGUAACUGACGCUGAGGUUCGAAAGCGUGGGUAGCAAACAGG
Molecule: ribosomal RNA, 253 nt
Filed under: uncultured bacterium
Lineage: Bacteria
Description: partial 16S ribosomal RNA
Rfam family: Bacterial small subunit ribosomal RNA
Source: RNAcentral